This 300-nucleotide long non-coding RNA is filed under the name Manihot esculenta (cassava). RNAcentral describes it as "long non-coding RNA (MESC_LNC003641)". Lineage: Eukaryota; Viridiplantae; Streptophyta; Magnoliopsida; Malpighiales; Euphorbiaceae. The record is from RNAcentral.
AAAGAGUCAAGAAUGAGUUGGAAAUUAGCAACUAUACAAAAGAGCGAUUGAUUAUAUAAGAAUUUCCGACUCGGUCGUUCUGUAUCAGACUAAGAUCAUUUCUCCCUCAAGUCAGUUUCCGCUGAAUCUACACUCCCACCUCUCUCUCUCUCUCUCUCCCACCUCUCUCUCUCUCUCUCUCUUCUCUGCAUCAAUGGUUUUGCAUACCAAAGACUUCAUUUUUAUAUUUCUUUCUUUUUCUCGGCAAUGAGAUAGGAAUCAGAAAAGAGCACAACACCUACUGCAAGCAACCAAAAGAUU